Molecule: ribosomal RNA, 1427 nt
Filed under: uncultured Bordetella sp.
Lineage: Bacteria; Pseudomonadati; Pseudomonadota; Betaproteobacteria; Burkholderiales; Alcaligenaceae
Description: partial 16S-23S ribosomal RNA intergenic spacer
Rfam family: Bacterial small subunit ribosomal RNA
Source: RNAcentral
GUUCGAUUCCGGCUCAGAUUGAACGCUGGCGGGAUACUUACGCAAAGUCGAACGGCACGGACUUCGGUCUGGUGAGGUGAACAGGUAGAGUAAUGUAUCGGAACGUGCCUAGUAGCGGGGGAUAACUACGCGAAAGCGUAGCUAAUACCACAUACGCCUGUCGGGGAAAGCGGGGACAUUCGACCUCUCUGCACCUGUCGACGGCCGAUAUCCGGAUUAACUGGAUUGGUGGGGUAACGGCUCACUAGGAGGCGACGAUCCGUGGCUGAUUUGAGAGGACGACCAACCACACUGGGACUGAGACACGGCCCAGACUCCACGGAGAACAGCAGUGGGAAUUUUGGACAGUAAACCCUGAAUCCAGCCAUCCGCGUGUGCGAUAGAAGGCCUUCAGGUUGUAAAAACUUACUUUUUGGCAGAAAAACGGCUGGGAUAAUACCCCGUGCGCUGACGGCCACCUGCAGAAUAAGCACCGGCUAACUACGUGCCUGACAGCCGCGGUAACACGUAGGGGUUGCAAGCGUUAAUCGGAAUUACUGGGCGUAAAGCGUGCAGGCGGUUCGGGGAAGAAAAAGAUGUGAAAUCCCAGAGCUUAACUUUGGAACUGCAUUUUUAACUUUAAAGCUGAGAGUGUGUCAGAGGGAGGUGGAAUUCCGCGUGUAGCAGUGAAAUGCGUAGAUAUGCGGAGGGCUUGCGAUGAAGGCAGCCUCCUGGGAUAACACUGACAUCAUGCACGAAAGCGUGGGAGUAAACGGAUUAGAUGCCUGAAAUGUCCUUUCAACGAUGUCAACUGGCUGUUGGGGCCUUCGGGCGCUGUGGCUAACUUUAACGGCGUGAUUGGGGCCGCCUGCAGGAGAGUACGGUCGCAAGAUUAAAACUCAAAAGGAAUUGACGGGGAUUUUACAAGCAGUGGAUGAUGUGGAUUAAUUGGUGUUAACGCCGAAAACCUCCUUGACAUGUCUGGAAUCCCGAAGAGAUUGGAGUGCUCGCGAGAGCCGGAACUGAGUGCUGCAUAUGGCUGUCGUCAGCUCGAGAUGUUGGGUUAAGUCCCACCCAACGAGAACGCAGCCUUGUCAUUGAUUUGCCGGGCACUCUAAUGAGACUGCCGGUGACCGACCGGAGGAAGGUGGGGAUGACGUCAGAUCCUCAUGGCCCUUAUGGGUAGGGCUUCACACGUCAUACAAUGGUCGGGACAGAGGGUCGCCAACCCGCGAGAGGCCAAUCCAAACCCGAUCACGUAGUCCGGAUCGCAGUCUGCUCGACUGCGUGAAGUCAGAAUCGCUGGUAAUCGCGGAUCAGCAUGUCGCGGUGAAUACGUUCAGGUCUUGUACACGCUUCCGUCACCAUGGUGGGUUACCGAUAGUUAGCCUAUAUGUUUAAGGAGGCGAUUAGUAGGAUUCAUGACUGGGUGAAGUCGCUUCAGGUAG